Molecule: long non-coding RNA, 1390 nt
Organism: Melospiza melodia melodia
Lineage: Eukaryota; Metazoa; Chordata; Aves; Passeriformes; Passerellidae
Exons: 3
Source: RefSeq, a predicted model, not a curated record
CAGCACAUCUCUUCCAGGCAAACACCACCCAGGCACCAGCAAGAGGGAACUGGCUUGCAAGGUUGGUCCUGUUCCACUUCUCACAGCCGGGCUGGAGGUUCCUGGGCACCUGUGCCAAGGCUCUGCUGUGUGCCCCAAGCCAGUGCAGGUUUGGUGUCUGCUUCCACAGCAGCUUUUCUGCAGUCAUCAACUGAUCGCCAUCAAAGCAGGGCAGCAUCAGAUUUCAGGAGGAAGAUGCAGUAGGCUGUUGCAGCUGAGGCGUGCUCCCUGCAAAGGGCAGUUUGAUGGAGGAAAUGAGGGAUGCCUUGUCAAAGGGCUGCUCUUUUUGGAGAGGAGCUCUGCUCUCUGAAAUCGCUGUGCCAAAUCUGCCUGGAGCUCCUGCUGUGCAAAUCCCCACCCAUGGCUUCUGCCCUGCCAGAAACACCAGUGCCUCAUCACCAUGAACUGGCCCCGUGCAGGCCCAAAGCUACAGACAAACGUGGUUUUCCUGGUUCCUCUCCUCCUUCUUGCCUGUAGGUCAGAGCAUCAGACAUGCGCUGCUCUGCAUGCGGCGACCUGCGGCCCUACCAGUGGCACAGCUACCAGUUCCACAUUUAAAGCAAGACUCAUUGCCAAGAAAAAUCUCCUAGAAAGUCCCACACCCCCACUUUUUUAUUCCUUGCACUCUGGUGUGACGUGUCUCUCAGGCAGCACAGCUCCCCAGGCUUCUAAUGACCAUGUUGUGAGGGUUUGCUAACUGCUGCAUUAUGUUGCCUGCAAAAAUCAGGCUACACAGCUGCAGUCCUCAUCCUGUUCAGCAGACUGGGAAGCAGAGGCACGGAAUGGAAAGGACCAUCCCUUUCCAAAACCUUCUGGUGGUUUUUGGCUAGCUCUGGAUUAAGUUGCCAUGCUCAGAUGGGUCAGCGACUGCUGGCCCAAGUGGCGUGCCCAUGGACACACAAAUAAUCAGUAGCAAACACCCAAGCAGAAGCCAAACCCUUGAGACACAAUGCUGUGGUACAAAUUUGUGCUCAUCCUUAAUUUUUUUAGGAGCUAAUCCUUUGUCCUUGAAGGAAGAGGAAUUUUCUAUAAAUGUGGUAUUUUUUUACACCUCACUGUGUGUUUAAUGUUUAACAAUGGGAUCAUUAUGGUUUUAUUAGCAGCGUGUAACGCUUUGUCAUCUUCAACUGACUUUGCAAACAUUAACUAAUUGAUCUCAACUAUGAAUCAGUGGUGGUAACUAGGAAGGGAGGUGAAGUGGUCUGCUGGUGCUCGCUGGGGAAGUGGUUGUCAGAGCAGGGCACAGAAAGCAGGGCUCACAUUUUGCUGCUCAGACCACGAACACGACAGCUUUAUUAGUGUUAUUUCCAUUAGUGCUGCUGUCAGGGAGGGCUACUCUGUGUGCAAUAAA